GACGGAGGAGGCUAGCGUUGUUCGGAAUUACUGGGCGUAAAGCGCGCGCAGGCGGCUUAGCAAGUCAGGGGUGAAAGCCCGAGGCUCAACCUCGGAACUGCCUUUGAGACUGCUAGGCUCGAGACCGAGAGAGGAGAGUGGAAUUCCCAGUGUAGAGGUGAAAUUCGUAGAUAUUGGGAAGAACACCAGUGGCGAAGGCGGCUCUCUGGCUCGGUACUGACGCUGAGGCGCGAAAGCGUGGGGAGCAAACAGG
This 253-nucleotide ribosomal RNA is filed under the name uncultured bacterium. RNAcentral describes it as "partial 16S ribosomal RNA". It matches the Rfam family "Bacterial small subunit ribosomal RNA", at positions 524 to 776 of the family's 1533-position model. The record is from RNAcentral.